UAAGGAAUAUUGGUCAAUGGAGGCAACUCUGAACCAGCCAGGCCGCGUGAAGGAUUAAGGCCCUCUGGGUUGUAAACUUCUUUUAUAUGGGAAGAAAUGUACUUUUUCUAAAGUGCUUGACGGUACCAUAGGAAUAAGCACCGGCUAACUCCGUGCCAGCAGCCGCGGUAAUACGGAGGGUGCAAGCGUUAUCCGGAUUUACUGGGUGUAAAGGGCGCGCAGGCGGGAUAAAAAGUCAGUGGUGAAAUCCUACAGCUUAACUGUAGAACUGCCUUUGAUACUUUUAUUCUUGAGUUCGGGAGAGAGAGACGGAAUUCCAGGUGUAGUGGUGAAAUACGUAGAUAUCUGGAAGAACACCAGUUGCGAAGGCGGUCUCUUGGUCCGACACUGACGCUGAGGCGCGAAAGCGUGGGGAGCAAACA
RNAcentral lists this ribosomal RNA (422 nucleotides) under uncultured bacterium. RNAcentral's name for it is "bacterial SSU rRNA". It matches the Rfam family "Bacterial small subunit ribosomal RNA", at positions 355 to 774 of the family's 1533-position model. The record is from RNAcentral.